AAGUGUGACGUCACAGACCACGCCCAUGUCAAAAUACGUCACAUUCUCAAUCAUUUUGAAACAGGAAGAAGCAUCGAUAAGAAGAUAAUUUGUAUUGUUUGCCAACCGCUAAAAAAAGAAGCUGUUGUUUGCCGUGUCGCAUUCUACACAUUUUCAGUCCAAGCCUGAUGCAGAGCAGUUCUCCCGGGUUAAGGGGUCCCUGCUGCAGUUUCACCAGUAAAGAAAAUUACUUUUUACAGUUCACUUGAAGGACCACAUAAGCCAUGCAGUGAUGCAUCGAGGUAUGGAGCGCCAAGAGGACAUAAAGUGGAAGUUUGUAAGGGACAUUGGUCCAGCGUGGUACAGAGUCAUCGUGGGUUAUUCUGUGGGGAGGUGACAGGGCCUGCCGUUCUCCAGAUGGACAGUAAAAAUCAACAGAAUGCCAUCAAAGACUACCUGGAGGGAGAAUCGGAGGAUAUAUUGAAGCAAGGAAUCUCUCUGUGUAGUCUAUGUAUGUAUGUGUGUGUACUGCAUGUCAAGAACUGUUUAUCUGAUCAUUCAGCUGUUCAUUCAGCUGCUCAGACUUUAUAAUAUUUGGAGCAUACCUUUUGUUAAACAACCAGUCAAAAGUUUUUGAACAGUGAGAUUUUUUUAUGUUUUUAAAGAAAUAUCUUCUGCUCAUCAAGCCUGCAUUUAUUUAAUCCGAAGUACAGC
Molecule: long non-coding RNA, 693 nt
Organism: Cyprinus carpio carpio
Lineage: Eukaryota; Metazoa; Chordata; Actinopteri; Cypriniformes; Cyprinidae
Source: Ensembl